GACGAACGCUGGCGGCGUGCUUAACACAUGCAAGUCGAACGAUGACCUCCGUGCUUGCACGGGGUGAUUAGUGGCGAACGGGUGAGUAACACGUGAGUAACCUGCCCCCCACUCUGGGAUAACCUCGGGAAAUCGGGGCUAAUACCGGAUAUGAGUUUCCGCCGCAUGGUGGUUUCUGGAAAGUUUUUCGGUGGGGGAUGGACUCGCGGCCUAUCAGUUUGUUGGUGAGGUAAUGGCUCACCAAGGCGAUGACGGGUAGCCGGCCUGAGAGGGCGACCGGCCACACUGGGACUGAGACACGGCCCAGACUCCUACGGGAGGCAGCAGUGGGGAAUAUUGCACAAUGGGCGAAAGCCUGAUGCAGCGACGCCGCGUGAGGGAUGACGGCCUUCGGGUUGUAAACCUCUUUCAGUAGGGAAGAAGGGAGCUUGCUCUUGACGGUACCAGCAGAAAAAGCACCGGCUAACUACGUGCCAGCCGCCGCCGUAAUAC
RNAcentral lists this ribosomal RNA (492 nucleotides) under uncultured bacterium. Its description in RNAcentral is "bacterial SSU rRNA". It matches the Rfam family "Bacterial small subunit ribosomal RNA", at positions 28 to 526 of the family's 1533-position model. The record is from RNAcentral.